GGAAGCGUGGCCGAGAGGUCUAAGGCAGGAGUCUUGAAAACUUCAGGGCGGGCAACCGUUCCGUGGGUUCGAAUCCCACCGCUUCCGCCA
This 90-nucleotide transfer RNA is filed under the name Agrobacterium rubi. RNAcentral describes it as "tRNA-Ser". It matches the Rfam family "tRNA". From Rfam's summary of the family: Transfer RNA (tRNA) molecules are approximately 80 nucleotides in length. Lineage: Bacteria; Pseudomonadati; Pseudomonadota; Alphaproteobacteria; Hyphomicrobiales; Rhizobiaceae. The record is from RNAcentral.